This 254-nucleotide ribosomal RNA is filed under the name uncultured prokaryote. RNAcentral describes it as "partial 16S ribosomal RNA". It matches the Rfam family "Bacterial small subunit ribosomal RNA", at positions 524 to 777 of the family's 1533-position model. The record is from RNAcentral.
UACGGAGGAUGCAAGCGUUAUCCGGAUUUAUUGGGUUUAAAUGGUGCGCAGGUUGUUUGAUAAGUCAGUGGUGAAAGUCUGUCGCUUAACGGUAGGAUUGCCAUUGAUACUGUUGGACUUGAAUAUGGAUUAGGUAGGCGGAAUGUGUAGUGUAGCGGUGAAAUGCAUAGAUAUUACACAGAACACCGAUUGCGAAGGCAGCUUACUAAUCCAUCAUUGACGCUGAGGCACGAAAGCGUGGGGAUCAAACAGGA